UCACAGCUUAUUGAUAUUCAACACUGGCGUUAAAAGGCAACAAAUCACUGAGGAUCUGUGGAGCGCUUACAAAUGUUCCCACUAUGCAUCUCUUCAAAACAACAUCCGCGCAUUUAGCGACCCGGUUCAGGCAUCGGGGCUAUGGAACCCAUUGCUGUCCUUAAGAAGGCAAUUGGAGAGCCUUAAUGGAGUGCAAGACGAUUUCGGGUUGGUGCUGGGUGUCACAAGUACGGACAUACCAAGUAUGGUUAAUAAAGUGCUUGAAGGCUACAACAGGAGGACUCGUCGAAGUUUCUGCAAGAACUUCUGAAUGCAUCCCAGAAUGUUCCAGUAUCGGUAUCGGUGACGUUAAAAGGCCGCUGGUUUACGUCAAAUGCGCCCAUAGACCAAAACAGGGAAUUAUUCAAGAAGUGCACGAAACUCGAUGAAACCACGGACGCACCACCGGU
Molecule: long non-coding RNA, 449 nt
Filed under: Dermacentor andersoni
Lineage: Eukaryota; Metazoa; Arthropoda; Arachnida; Ixodida; Ixodidae
Description: uncharacterized LOC126529331
Source: RNAcentral